ACUCAAAGGAAUAGACGGGGGCCCGCACAAGCGGUGGAGCAUGUUGUUUAAUACGUCACUAACCGUAGAACCUUACCAGGGUUUGACAUGUGAGGCACCGGUAUGAAAGUACCGUUCCUAGCAAUAGGACCUCAACACAGGUGUUGCAUGGCUGUCGUCAGCUCGUGUCGUGAGAUGUUGGGUUAAGUCCCGCAACGAGCGCAACCCUCAUCCUAUGUUGCCAGCGGGUGAAGCCGGGAACUCUUAGGAAACUGCCGGGGUAACUCGGAGGAAGGUGAGGAUGACGUCAAGUCAGCAUGGCCCUUACAUCCUGGGCUACAAACAUGCUACAAUGGACGGUACACAAAGGGAUCCGAAGCCGCGAGGUGGGGGAAAUCUCAAAAAUCCGUUCUCAGUUCGGAUCGCAGGCUGCAACUCGCCUGCGUGAAGUUGGAAUCGCUAGUAACCGCAGGUCAGCGAAACUGCGGUGAAUACGUUCCCGGGCCUUGCACACACCGCCCGU
Molecule: ribosomal RNA, 502 nt
Filed under: uncultured bacterium
Lineage: Bacteria
Description: partial 16S ribosomal RNA
Rfam family: Bacterial small subunit ribosomal RNA
Source: RNAcentral